Pseudophryne corroboree (corroboree frog) is the source of this 647-nucleotide long non-coding RNA. RefSeq lists it as uncharacterized. The record is from RefSeq and is a predicted model, not a curated record. The transcript is spliced from 3 exons. Lineage: Eukaryota; Metazoa; Chordata; Amphibia; Anura; Myobatrachidae.
UACAGGGUGUCUCACUGAGGAAGCCGGAAAGCAAAACGGCUGUCUGAGGCUCAGUGCAGUGCAGCCGGAGCCGUACACCCUGACAUCCACGCGUACUCUCAGUGUCUUCUGGGACAGACAUUAUGACGUCUCUCAGCGACCAUCCCCAGCCCACCCGCAGUGCCCUGCGCUGAGAAGAGCUGCAGCAAUUGGGUGGGAGGAGUCACGUCAGCUGGUGGAAGCUGCUGCCCCAGAGCCAAAUGUUCUACAGAAGGCCACUGCUGUAACAGCUAUAGUAAAUACAACCACAGUAUGUGCUGUGAUGCUCAACAUGUCUUAUGUUGACCACAUCCUGCUGAAGUCACAGAACCUGGGAAAACUUAGAGGAAAAUGAAUCACCACCAGGGCACCAGACCCACCCAAUGAGCUCACACUGACAAUAUUUGGACAGUGCCACAAUAAGCUCAAAAUACACCUUCUGCACAACAAGUGUGACCAAUUCAGUGAGCUGCAGUGUACAUAGUUAUCAUAAAUACUUGUGGUACCAUGGAGAUUAACAAUUCACAAGGUUUAGUCCACAUCUAACUGAAUGCAAUUUUAUUGUAGUGUACACAAAUGAGAAUAUAAAAAAAAUUAUCAAUAUAAUAAUAUAUUUGAUCGUUUUGCCA